GAGGGAGGAGGCAAGCGUUAUCCGGAAUUAUUGGGCGUAAAGGGUACGUAGGCGGCUGGUCAAGUCUGGGGUCAAAGGCCACAGCUCAACUGUGGGAAGGCCCUGGAAACUGACCGGCUAGAGUGAGGUAGGGGUUGCGGGAAUUCCCGGUGUAGCGGUGAAAUGCGUAGAGAUCGGGAAGAACACCUGAGGCGGAAGCGCGCAACUGGGCCUCGACUGACGCUGAGGUACGAAAGCUAGGGGAGCUAAUGGG
RNAcentral lists this ribosomal RNA (253 nucleotides) under uncultured bacterium. Its description in RNAcentral is "partial 16S ribosomal RNA". It matches the Rfam family "Bacterial small subunit ribosomal RNA", at positions 524 to 776 of the family's 1533-position model. The record is from RNAcentral.